GGGCCGCUAGCUCAAUUGGCAGAGCAAGGGACUCUUAAUCCCUAGGUUCAAGGUUCGAUUCCUUGGCGGCUCACCA
RNAcentral lists this transfer RNA (76 nucleotides) under Acidobacteriota bacterium. RNAcentral describes it as "tRNA-Lys". It matches the Rfam family "tRNA". From Rfam's summary of the family: Transfer RNA (tRNA) molecules are approximately 80 nucleotides in length. Their secondary structure includes four short double-helical elements and three loops (D, anti-codon, and T loops). RNAcentral also lists the same sequence under 2 other names. Lineage: Bacteria; Pseudomonadati; Acidobacteriota. The record is from RNAcentral.